CAAGUAGCCGGGAUUACAGGCGUCUGCCACCACGCCUGACUAAUUUUUUUCUAUUUUUAGCAGAGACAGGGUUUCACUACCUUGCCCAGCCUGGUCUUGCACUCCUGACCUCAUGAUCCACCCGCCUCGGUCUCACAAAGUGCUGGGAUGACAGGCGUGAGCCACCGUGCCCAGACGCUUACUUCUUUUUUCACUUAGUUUUACAUUACAAGCGUUUACUUACAUACUUUCUUACUUCCUUACGUGGGACUACAGGCAUGCACCACCACACCGGUUAACUUUUAUAAUGUUUGUCAUGCUUUCCGUACGUACGUACGUACGUACGUACGUAUGUAUGUAUGUAUGUAUGUACGUGACAUGGGGUUCGAGGUUCUAUCACGUUGCCCAGGCUGGUCUCCAACUCCUGUUCUCAAUCACUCCGCCUGCCUCGGCCACCCACACUGCUGCUAUUACAGGCGUGAGCCAUUGCGCCUAGCUCAUUCUAUAUUUGCUCCUCUCUCUCUCUCUCUCUCUCUCUCUCUCUCUCUCUCUCUCUCUCUCCCCCCCCCUCCCCCCCAUUCAUCUUCUCAGUAGGGAUGUGGUCUUGCUUUCUGGUCCACGCUCUGGGCACAUACAAUCUCUUUUUAAACGUCUAUUAUUAUUACUAUUACUAUUACUAUUAUUAUUAUUAUUAUUAUUAUUAUUAUUAUUAUUGCAGGUAUCGUCUCACAUAUCGAGAUGAUCUCAAACUUCUGGGGGGGCUCCAGCGAUCAUACCACAUCGGCCUCCCAGACUGCUGUGAUGACACGCGUGGGCAAGCCCGGGCUCCCACCGCAGCCACCGCACGCCGUGGGAUUUCCAUGGGAGAGGUAUGGGAGAGGACUGACGCGGCUUCCAGAUCUAUAUCCUGCCAGACGUGUCUGACUCAGCGUCCACCACAGGCUGCCUGCCACCUUCCAGGGAGCUCUGAGGCGGAUGCCCCCCUCACGUCCUGCCACCCUCCCCAGGCUGGCCUGUGCCGGCCGACCCCAGGGGAAUGGCGUGGACGCUGCUUUCGAAUGCUCCAGCGAAGACUUCUACCAGAUGGCCCGGGUGGGCCGGAUGGGACGAGACUGGAGCACCCCGGACCGUGCUGUUCUUAGGGGCCUGCCUUCAGCUUCCUCCGGCCUGAAGACAACUUCCCAUCAGAGCCUCUUUUCUUCCCUUUCUCCACCACAGAGAUGACACGCGUGAGAGGGAGAAACAGCUCAACAGAUACUGCUUAUCUUCCUCUGUGCAACCCUCAGUCAUCUACAGACACACAGGUGACUAGACAGGGACCCGAAUCAAACACCAUUUCCGGGUCCUCGUGUUGGGAUUGGUCUCUCUCUCUCUCUCUCUCUCUCUCUCUCUCUCUCUCUCUCACACACACACACACACACACACACACACACACACACCCCACACACACUUUCCACAUCUAGUUCACAAACCACACUAAUUUACCCCCUUAAGAGCAUGCAGGCUGAGUAAACCGCACCCCACCCUCCCUCCACCCGGCGGCUGAGGAAACCCCUUCUCUACCAUUUAUUAACAAGAUUAUCUGGGUG
Molecule: long non-coding RNA, 1568 nt
Filed under: Macaca mulatta (Rhesus monkey)
Lineage: Eukaryota; Metazoa; Chordata; Mammalia; Primates; Cercopithecidae
Description: lncRNA (ENSMMUG00000059468.1)
Source: RNAcentral